UGUAACUUUAUCCUUGAGGAAUAUGCAGGGAAAUGAAGCCUAUUCAGACCAUUCUCACCUCAGAGGCUGUCUCCUCUACAUCUGCCUGUUUUGAGAUGGCUCCUACAUAAUCAUGAGGGUUCUUAUCUUUAAAAGACAGCUGCUUUACCUCAAGCAUAAAUCAGAAAAGGAAAAGGAGCUACCCAGCAAAGCCUGGCCUGGAGGGAGGAUGAAAGGGGAUAGAAGUUGAGAGAGGGGAAGGGAAGAAUAAAGGUCCCCUGGAGAGUCAACUCCAGGCCAAGCACAAUAAAUGAGAAUCCUCUACCCUUCUGGUGAGCACAGACUGAACAGAGAAUCUUACUUGAGAAGAAAAAGAUGAAGCCCUGGAUGCCUCAGAGGCAGCAAAGAAGAUCCCAUGAGAGUGACAAAUAUGCCUUGGGAGCAAAUCUGCCCUGGAAGUACAAGGCGUACCCUCCGCGUUCGUGGCAUAAAUGGGAGAUCCUGGUCACAAUGGGAACCAUGAUCUCUCUGCUUUAUAUCUGGCUGUAUUCCCAGAGCUUCCAUUUCCAUGUGGCACAUCUUUAUGCUCGCUUUGGGUAUCCCAGUGCCCAACUUAUUGUUGGCCAGAGAUACCUGAAAGGAGCUGGUGUGGUGAAGGAUGAAGAGAUGGCAAUGUAUUGGUUUAGACAAGCCUCCAAGCAGGACCAUCCCUAUGCUUCCUUUAAACCUUGCAGUAGGAAAACUUAAAAACAUGACUGGAUCCAUGGAAGUAGGGGAUGUAGAGAUUCUCCUUAAUGUUGGUGCAAGACAGGGGAUUCAAGAAGCUCAGGAACUUCUGGAGAAUGUUAUUUGGACCAGAAGCAAGCUCUUGCCAGCUACAAGAAUUAGGAGUUUUUACAAACCGUAGUGUGUGUGCUGCACACUUCCUGGAUCGAGACACUUCCCUCUCCCUCACUCACUGUUGCCUUGCAAUGCUCAGUGGAACUUUAAAUGGAAGUGGCUUUUAGUUAUAGUUUUAUAUGCUGCUGCAUCAUCAAUUUGCUGUUCAAAAUCCUUUAAGCAAGGUAUUGCUUGUGUUUUCCUGGGAUCCAAGUUUGAGCUCUUCUGGAUGGAGGAAUAUUUCAUUUGGAUUUCAUUACUGCUCACCUCAGCUUAGUUUCAAGUCAGCGAACAUUAUAUGAAGUGGUAGGAGGGAAAGAAGGAAGGAACCUGUCACCAGAGAUUUGGCUUCUUGGAUGUGUUAGUUGGCACCCACAGAUCACUGAAGGAGCUAAACUCGUCAUUAGCCUAAUCUAUGACAUGUGGUGUUCUGCUUAAAAUAAACUUGUUUUCUUGUCUCUAAAUUUCAAUUAUCUGCUCUAUUAGAUUUCUAUGGUAUUUUAUUGUAUUACUUUUUGUAUUACUUUGUGUAAAAAGUCCUUUAUGGGGAAAAAGUUAAAAGGCUGUGAAUAUUGCCAACAAAAGAAAAAAGGAUAAAAUGUAAGAUCUCACAUUUACUGAGCACCUGUCAUGUUGUAAGGUUUUUUCCUAACUGCUUUUAAGUAUUUUAGCAUUUAUUAGUUAUAAAAGCCUUAUGAGGUGGAUUGUGUCAUCAUUCUCAUUUUACAGAUGUGGGAAUAAAUGUGUAGAAGUCAAGUAAUAUGUGCAGGGUCAUAAAAUGAGAGGUAGAAUAAGAUUUUGAAAUUCUUAACUAGUUCUGCUACCAUUACUCUCUCAAAUCUCCUUCCUAACAAUUUCAAAUAUUCUCCAAGAGCAGCUACUUGGUUUAUUAGGAGUACAUAGUGAAAACUUGAGAACUUACCUUAGCUCAAUAGCUCAAUAACUCAGCCACAUUUUCUGUCUUUUCUUUUUCUUUUUUUUAAGCAUGAACAACAUAUACCUAAACUUUUAAAGAGGCAUUUUAACCUUAAAUAUAGUUACCUUUAUUUAUUGCAUUUAGAUUAUAGCACAAUUCAGAAACAUGUGAGGAUGACAAAAAUGUCAAAUUAGAAUUCAAUAAAAUGAUUAAGCUGUUUAAAAUACUUGUUUCAUGUUUAAGUUUGAGUAUCAAAUUUAUACUGUAUGCAAGAUGACUGAAUCUUAGUCAAUCUUUUGAAACUGCUUAAAGUCAUAAAGCUGAACAGAAAUCAAAACGGCUGCGCUGAUGCUUUGGUGAACUUCUAUCUUAAAGUAACCUCUUUCCUCUCCUUCCCAAAUCUCCCCUCCUCCCUUCUUAGCCUUUUGUUUCGAGAACCCAAUACCACCCUAAAGACAAGAUGAAGGAGGCUAGUAGCACUUAGACAAUUCCUGUCAAAAUGGACUAGAUCUUGUAUUUCCCUAUAACCCCUCCCCAACCCCAGCCCCUUC
This is a long non-coding RNA of Canis lupus familiaris (dog), 2325 nucleotides long. RefSeq lists it as uncharacterized. NCBI's taxonomy places the organism in Eukaryota, Metazoa, Chordata, Mammalia, Carnivora, Canidae. The transcript is spliced from 6 exons. The record is from RefSeq and is a predicted model, not a curated record.